This 613-nucleotide long non-coding RNA is filed under the name Homo sapiens (human). Its description in RNAcentral is "HSALNT0225748". Lineage: Eukaryota; Metazoa; Chordata; Mammalia; Primates; Hominidae. The record is from RNAcentral.
AUAAAGUCAUCGGGUGCAGUGGCUGUGGUGCUCCCAUUCAAGUUUCCGAGGUGAAGCUGCUUUCCUUUUCAUCAGGGCAGCGAACCGUUUUCCUCCCAGCUGAGGUGAAGGCCAUAGGGACGGAGCAUGAUCACGUCCUCCCUCUGCAGGAAUUGGCUAUGAGAGGGCUGUAUCAUACCUACCACAGCUUGCUGAAAGAUUUGAACUUUCUGUCUCCAAUCUCAUUACCCAGAAGUCUCCUAGAGCUGCUGCACUGCCCUCUGGGGCACUGUCAUCGGUGUAGUGAGCCUAUGUUUACCAUCGUCUACCCCAAGCUCUUUCCCUUGAGAGAGACGCCAAUGGCAGGGCUGCACCAGUGGAAGACAACUGUUAGUUUUGUGGCUUACUGCUGCUCCACCCAGUGUCUGCAGACUUUUGACCUGCUGAGUUGAUAAACACUCAAGAACCUCAGGAGCGCUGCCAGCUUGACACUGGGGAAUCCAGCCAGUCCAGCACACUCUUCCAUCCUGUCCUGUCCAAUGCGGGGGCACUGCAGAACUCUCUAGAAAUGUCAUGAUUGAGCUUCAGAGCUAAAAUGCCUUCACCCUUCCCCCAAGUUGGAAUAUAUCCUCCC